RNAcentral lists this ribosomal RNA (405 nucleotides) under uncultured bacterium. RNAcentral's name for it is "partial 16S ribosomal RNA". It matches the Rfam family "Bacterial small subunit ribosomal RNA", at positions 28 to 526 of the family's 1533-position model. The record is from RNAcentral.
GACGAACGCUGCCGGCGUGCUUAACACAUGCAAGUCGAGCGGAGCGGCGAACGGGUGAGUAACGCGUGAGUAACUGCCCCCCUCUCUGGGAUAACAGUUGGAAACGGCUGCUAAUACCGGAUAGUGGGGGAUGAGGCGCGUCCUAUCGGCUUGGUGGUGGGGUAGUGGCCUACCAAGGCGACGACGGGUAGCCGGCCUGAGAGGGCGACCGGCCACAGUGUGCAGGGGUACGGCCAAAACGCCAACGGGGGGCAGGGGUGGGAAAUAUUGCGCGAAAGGGGAAGCCAGGGUGCAGCGACGCCGCGUGCGGGAUGACGGCCUUCGGGUUGUAAACCGCUUUCGGCCAUGACGCGGUAGUGGCAGAAGAAGCACCGGCUAACUACGUGCCAGCAGCCGCGGUAAUUC